GAAUUCGCCCUUAGAGUUUGAUCCUGGCUCAGGACGAACGCUGGCGGCGUGCUUAACACAUGCAAGUCGAACGGAGCGCCUAUGAAGGAGAUUUCGGUCAACGGAAUAGGUUGCUUAGUGGCGGACGGGUGAGUAACGCGUGAGGAACCUGCCUUUCAGAGGGGGACAACAGUUGGAAACGACUGCUAAUACCGCAUAACACAUAGGUGUCGCAUGGCAUUUAUGUCAAAGAUUUAUCGCUGAAAGAUGGCCUCGCGUCUGAUUAGCUAGUUGGUGAGGUAACGGCUCACCAAGGCGACGAUCAGUAGCCGGACUGAGAGGUUGGCCGGCCACAUUGGGACUGAGAUACGGCCCAGACUCCUACGGGAGGCAGCAGUGGGGAAUAUUGGGCAAUGGGCGCAAGCCUGACCCAGCAACGCCGCGUGAAGGAAGAAGGCUUUCGGGUUGUAAACUUCUUUUGACAGGGAAGAGUAGAAGACGGUACCUGUCGAAUAAGCCACGGCUAACUACGUGCCAGCAGCCGCGGUAAUACGUAGGUGGCAAGCGUUGUCCGGAUUUACUGGGUGUAAAGGGCGUGUAGCCGGGUUGACAAGUCAGAUGUGAAAUCCUGCGGCUUAACCGCAGAACUGCAUUUGAAACUGUUGGUCUUGAGUACUGGAGAGGCAGACGGAAUUCCUAGUGUAGCGGUGAAAUGCGUAGAUAUUAGGAGGAACACCAGUGGCGAAGGCGGUCUGCUGGACAGCAACUGACGGUGAGGCGCGAAAGCGUGGGGAGCAAACAGGAUUAGAUACCCUGGUAGUCCACGCAGUAAACGAUGAAAGGUGGUUGUCCGGGUUGAAUGAGACCCUGGGCGGCGAAAGCGAAAGCGAUAAGCAUUCCACCUGGGGAGUACGCCGGCAACGGUGAAACUCAAAGGAAUUGACGGGGGCCCGCACAAGCGGAGGAACAUGUGGUUUAAUUCGAUGAUACGCGAGGAACCUUACCCGGGCUCAAACGGGAGUGGAAUGGACCAGAGACGGUUCAGCCUACGGGCCGCUUCCGAGGUGCUGCAUGGUUGUCGUCAGCUCGUGCCGUGAGGUGUCGGCUUAAGUGCCAUAACGAGCGCAACCCCCGCCGGCAGUUGCUAACGGGCAAUGCCGAGGACUCUGCCGGGACUGCCGCCGCAAGGCGAGAGGAAGGCGGGGAUGACGUCAAAUCAGCACGGCCCUUACGUCCGGGGCGACACACGUGUUACAAUGGGCGGUACAGCGGGAAGCCAGGCGGCGACGCCGAGCGGAACCCGAAAGCCGUUCUCAGUUCGGAUCGGAGUCUGCAACCCGACUCCGUGAAGCUGGAUUCGCUAGUAAUCGCGCAUCAGCCAUGGCGCGGUGAAUACGUUCCCGGGCCUUGCACUCACCGCCCGUCA
This 1405-nucleotide ribosomal RNA is filed under the name uncultured bacterium. Its description in RNAcentral is "partial 16S ribosomal RNA". It matches the Rfam family "Bacterial small subunit ribosomal RNA". The record is from RNAcentral.